Molecule: ribosomal RNA, 492 nt
Filed under: uncultured bacterium
Lineage: Bacteria
Description: partial 16S ribosomal RNA
Rfam family: Bacterial small subunit ribosomal RNA
Source: RNAcentral
AGUGAACGCUGGCGGUAGGCCUAACACAUGCAAGUCGAACGGCAGCACAGUAAGAGCUUGCUCUUACGGGUGGCGAGUGGCGGACGGGUGAGGAAUACAUCGGAAUCUACUUUUUCGUGGGGGAUAACGUAGGGAAACUUACGCUAAUACCGCAUACGACCUACGGGGGAAAGCAGGGGAUCUUCGGACCUUGCGCGAUUGAAUGAGCCGAUGUCGGAUUAGCUAGUUGGCGGGGUAAAGGCCCACCAAGGCGACGAUCCGUAGCUGGUCUGAGAGGAUGAUCAGCCACACUGGAACUGAGACACGGUCCAGACUCCUACGGGAGGCAGCAGUGGGGAAUAUUGGACAAUGGGCGCGAGCCUGAUCCAGCCAUACCGCGUGGGUGAAGAAGGCCUUCGGGUUGUAAAGCCCUUUUGUUGGGAAAGAAAAGCAGCAGGUUAAUACCCCGCUGUUCUGACGGUACCCAAAGAAUAAGCACCGGCUAACUUCGUG